AUUGAACGCUGGCGGCAGGCCUAACACAUGCAAGUCGAGCGAGAGGCGGACGGGGGUGAAAAGCAUGGGGACUGCCCGAUAGAGGGGGAUAACUAUCGGACAAGGUGGCAAAUACCCCAUACCGUCGGAUAACCCAUAUGGGAUUAGCUAGUAGAUAAGGUAAUGGCUUACCUAGGCGACGAUCCCUCGCUGGUCUGAGAGGAUGAUCAGCCACACUGGGGCUGGGACACGGCCCAGACUCCUACGGAGGCAACAGUGGGGAAUAUUGCACAAUGGGCGCAAGCCGGAUGCAGCCAUUCCGCGUGUAUGAAGAAGGCCCUAGGGUUGUAAAGUACUUUCAGUCGGGAGGCGUUACCGGCAGAAGAAGCACCGGCUAACUCCGUGCCAGCCGCCGCUGUAAUAC
This 403-nucleotide ribosomal RNA is filed under the name uncultured bacterium. RNAcentral's name for it is "partial 16S ribosomal RNA". It matches the Rfam family "Bacterial small subunit ribosomal RNA", at positions 30 to 526 of the family's 1533-position model. The record is from RNAcentral.